This 1025-nucleotide long non-coding RNA is filed under the name Phascolarctos cinereus (koala). RNAcentral's name for it is "lncRNA (ENSPCIG00000032128.1)". Lineage: Eukaryota; Metazoa; Chordata; Mammalia; Diprotodontia; Phascolarctidae. The record is from RNAcentral.
GCUGGCUCCAGGGGCUGUUUCCUUACCCCUCCGGCCCUCGAUACCCCCUUGCAGUCUCCAAGAGUUUGUUUUAGGGCUCAAGUCUUCCUCUACCCCAAAAUGGGCAGACAGACCUGGGCAGGGGCGGAGGCGGAGAGAAGUUUUCUUCGUCGAGAGCCUUACCCUGCUGCUGGGAACAGUCGCUGUCCAGGAUCGUGGCGAGGGAAGCAUUCAGCCCGGGCUCUGGUCCCUCCAGGGAGGACGGCGGCCCGGGCACAGCAUCGAGCACAGGUUCCAGUUGAAAAUGGUCCAGAAAUAUCAGUCUCCAGUUCGAGUCUACAAGUAUCCAUUUGAGCUGGUCAUGGCGGCCCUUGAGGUCUGGUCUUCCUGCUCUUCCACUGCCAGCAACUAACACUGAAAAAGUUGCUCCCUCCCAUAGUCUUGGAAUGAUGGAGCUCUGACAUCCCUAUUCUUUAGUGACAAUCCUCUACCUUACCAGUGAAGAAUAGGCACUUCACACAUCAUCAGCUUCAAAGUGCUACCCAACAAUAUGUCAUAGAAUGGAAUUAACUAUGAUGGACAUAAAUAUGAGCCUGAGAAAUGAGUGGACCUAGUAAUAGUUUGUGGUCAAUGGGGGAAAACCUUUUAAUAUGAAAAUGAAUGACAUUUCCUGGUAUUUGUAAAGUGCUGUGUACUUGUAUGUGCAUUAUUCCAUUUGAUUUUUUAAGGCUGUACUAUGAGACAAGUAGGCUGGAUAUUAUUGUCCUUAUUUUACAUACGGAGAAACAGAGGCAUGAAGACAUCUAGUGACUAAUCCAAGACCUUUGAACAAAUCAAUGGUAGAGCUAGCACUAGAAUAUGUGGCUCCUGACUCCAAGUACAGUGUUUUUUCUACUAUAUCACACUGCUUUUGUACAUCAUCAUAUUAAAAAAUGUUCAAGGAUAUUAGAUUUUAGUUGUGUUUCUAGGAAUAAUUAUGGGGUGAAUGUCCUGCUGAUAGUAACCUGCUAGUAACCAUUUUUCAUAUGAUAACGUGUAGAAAGUAC